UCCCUCAUCCCCCCCUCUCCCCCCCUCUUUCCCUCCUCCUUUUCUUUCUUCUUUUAAGUGGAAGCUUCAAUCAAGCUUCAAAUUCUAAGGUGACAAUACAAAUUGCUCACAGGAAAAAAAAGUGCGGUCACACAGCUAGUACAAAUAAAAGCGGAAGCAAACAGGUACGUUUAUGGGAAAAGAAUGAAGCAGAAACAACUCAGAGUUAUGUGCUGAAUUAAUCAAAAGUGAUUCACCUGUAACUGAAAGUAAGUUGUAUCAAAGCCUGCUCCAAUCGACAAUAUUUGCUUCUUGGUGUGGCCGCCGUCAUU
RNAcentral lists this unclassified non-coding RNA (311 nucleotides) under Hevea brasiliensis (rubber tree). The record is from RNAcentral. Lineage: Eukaryota; Viridiplantae; Streptophyta; Magnoliopsida; Malpighiales; Euphorbiaceae.